CAGUAGCCGCGGGAAUACGAAGGUCCCGAGCGUUGUUCGGAAUCACUGGGCGUAAAGGGAGCGUAGGCGGCGUGGUAAGUCAGAUGUGAAAUCCCGGGGCUCAACCUGGGAAUGGCAGUGGAUACUGGCUCGCUAGAGUGUGUCAGAGGAUGGUGGAAUUCCCGGUGUAGCGGUGAAAUGCGUAGAGAUCGGGAGGAACAUCAGUGGCGAAGGCGGCCAUCUGGGACAACACUGACGCUGAGGCACGAAAGCGUGGAGAGCAAACAGGAUUAGAUACCCCGGUAGUCCCUGUCUCUUAUAC
This 301-nucleotide ribosomal RNA is filed under the name uncultured bacterium. RNAcentral describes it as "partial 16S ribosomal RNA". It matches the Rfam family "Bacterial small subunit ribosomal RNA", at positions 509 to 807 of the family's 1533-position model. The record is from RNAcentral.